Long non-coding RNA from Cyprinus carpio (common carp), 248 nucleotides. RefSeq lists it as uncharacterized. Lineage: Eukaryota; Metazoa; Chordata; Actinopteri; Cypriniformes; Cyprinidae. The transcript has 3 exons. The record is from RefSeq and is a predicted model, not a curated record.
CCUCAAGACAGCGAUGAAAGCUCGGACGAUAUGGGUCUGGAAGAUCUGGCGACGAGGACAAUGAAAAUUCAGAAGAGGAAAUAAACGAGGAGGUUAUCGUGGACUUUGAAGCACACACGAUAUCUGACAACGACUUUCAUGGCAUUAAAACCCUCCUGCAGCAGCUGUUCCUGAAGUCUUCACGUGAACACCCUCUGAUCUGACUGACAUCAUCAUCCAGCAGAAUCACAUCGGCAGCGUCAUCAGAG